Molecule: ribosomal RNA, 492 nt
Filed under: Bacillus sp. enrichment culture clone SN3_Na7
Lineage: Bacteria; Bacillati; Bacillota; Bacilli; Caryophanales; Bacillaceae
Description: bacterial SSU rRNA
Rfam family: Bacterial small subunit ribosomal RNA
Source: RNAcentral
GGUCGUAAAACUCUGUUGUUAGGGAAGAACAAGUAUCGGAGUAACUGCCGGUACCUUGACGGUACCUAACCAGAAAGCCACGGCUAACUACGUGCCAGCAGCCGCGGUAAUACGUAGGUGGCAAGCGUUGUCCGGAAUUAUUGGGCGUAAAGCGCGCGCAGGCGGUUCUUUAAGUCUGAUGUGAAAGCCCCCGGCUCAACCGGGGAGGGUCAUUGGAAACUGGGGAACUUGAGUGCAGAAGAGGAAAGCGGAAUUCCACGUGUAGCGGUGAAAUGCGUAGAGAUGUGGAGGAACACCAGUGGCGAAGGCGGCUUUCUGGUCUGUAACUGACGCUGAGGCGCGAAAGCGUGGGGAGCAAACAGGAUUAGAUACCCUGGUAGUCCACGCCGUAAACGAUGAGUGCUAAGUGUUAGAGGGUUUCCGCCCUUUAGUGCUGCAGCUAACGCAUUAAGCACUCCGCCUGGGGAGUACGGCCGCAAGGCUGAAACUCUG